GAGGAUGUAACUCCGUGGUAAAGUACUUGCCUAACAUGUUCAAGGACCUAGGUUCAAUUCCUAGUACCCACC
RNAcentral lists this transfer RNA (72 nucleotides) under Marmota monax (woodchuck). RNAcentral describes it as "tRNA.Val". The record is from RNAcentral. Lineage: Eukaryota; Metazoa; Chordata; Mammalia; Rodentia; Sciuridae.